Chinchilla lanigera (long-tailed chinchilla) is the source of this 243-nucleotide long non-coding RNA. RefSeq lists it as uncharacterized. The transcript is spliced from 3 exons. The record is from RefSeq and is a predicted model, not a curated record. NCBI's taxonomy places the organism in Eukaryota, Metazoa, Chordata, Mammalia, Rodentia, Chinchillidae.
GCGCUUGCCAGGCAGGCGCUGUGCCGCUGAGCGAAAUCCCCGGCCCCUGCAUAGUGAUUCUUAAAGUGACCUGCUCUGAAGCUCCUUCCACAAAAGGCGAAGUAUACAGGGAAACUUCCUGAUGGGAUACCAAAUAGUUACGGCUUACAGCGGCGUAUGUCCUGGGUUUAAUAACUCAACUCGACUCAACUCCACUAUUUUAAACAAAACGUGAUACAGUUUUGGCUUACUACUCUUUCCCAC